This 439-nucleotide ribosomal RNA is filed under the name uncultured bacterium. Its description in RNAcentral is "bacterial SSU rRNA". It matches the Rfam family "Bacterial small subunit ribosomal RNA", at positions 28 to 457 of the family's 1533-position model. The record is from RNAcentral.
GACGAACGCUGGCGGCGUGCCUAACACAUGCAAGUCGAGCGGGGUCCAUCCGGUAGCAAUACCGGGGAAGACCUAGCGGCGAACGGGUGAGUAACACGUGAGAAACCUGCCCCGAAGUCUGGGAUAACCCGAGGAAACUCGAGCUAAUACCGGAUGUCUUCUUCUGAUCGCAUGGUCGGAUGAAGAAAGAUUUAUCGCUUCGGGAGGGUCUCGCGGCCUAUCAGCUAGUUGGCGGGGUAACGGCCCACCAAGGCGUCGACGGGUAGCUGGUCUGAGAGGACGAUCAGCCACACUGGGACUGAGACACGGCCCAGACUCCUACGGGAGGCAGCAGUGGGGAAUAUUGCGCAAUGGGCGAAAGCCUGACGCAGCAACGCCGCGUGCGGGAUGAAGGCCUUCGGGUUGUUAAACCGGCUUUCACGUGGGGACGGAAGUUACA